Molecule: small RNA, 91 nt
Filed under: Arabidopsis thaliana (thale cress)
Lineage: Eukaryota; Viridiplantae; Streptophyta; Magnoliopsida; Brassicales; Brassicaceae
Description: ATSL261760
Source: RNAcentral
UCUUGACAAACAUCAAUAUUUUGAUAAUGUAACAGUGGCGGAUCUAGAAAAAUAUUUAGUCUAGAGCACUAUUAAUCUACUUGUUAUAUAU